UCCUUGGUGGUCCAAUGGCUAAGACUCUUCAGUCCAAAUGAAGGGAGUCUGGGUUCGAACCCUGGUCAGGGAA
Molecule: transfer RNA, 73 nt
Filed under: Ovis aries (sheep)
Lineage: Eukaryota; Metazoa; Chordata; Mammalia; Artiodactyla; Bovidae
Rfam family: tRNA
About the family: Transfer RNA (tRNA) molecules are approximately 80 nucleotides in length.
Source: Rfam by way of RNAcentral